Molecule: transfer RNA, 76 nt
Filed under: Mus musculus (house mouse)
Lineage: Eukaryota; Metazoa; Chordata; Mammalia; Rodentia; Muridae
Description: tRNA-Ser
Source: RNAcentral
GCCGGAGAGAUGGCUCAGUGGUUAAGAGCACUGACUGCUCUUCCAGAGGUCCUGAGUUCAAUUCCCAGCAACGACA